CUGCAUUGCGACCGUCGACUGCAUCUCAUCAGCAAACUCCACAAAGGCGAUUCCCGGUUUGGCUUCAAUCAUUCUAACUUCCUUAAAUCCUUGGUACUGGCAGAACAACAUCUGAAGCACCAUUGGAGUUGUCUCGUGAGGAAGGUUUUGGACAAAGAGAAUAUUAUUUGGCGGAGCUGGUGCCUCGGGCAUAUUGGGUUUCCAUCUCCUUGUCGUAGAAAGGAAA
Molecule: long non-coding RNA, 226 nt
Organism: Arabidopsis thaliana (thale cress)
Lineage: Eukaryota; Viridiplantae; Streptophyta; Magnoliopsida; Brassicales; Brassicaceae
Product: other RNA
Exons: 2
Source: RefSeq